RNAcentral lists this ribosomal RNA (455 nucleotides) under uncultured bacterium. Its description in RNAcentral is "bacterial SSU rRNA". It matches the Rfam family "Bacterial small subunit ribosomal RNA", at positions 28 to 479 of the family's 1533-position model. The record is from RNAcentral.
GAUGAACGCUGGCGGCGUGCCUAAUACAUGCAAGUCGAACGCGAGCAGCAAUGCUCGAGUGGCGAACGGGUGAGUAAUACAUAAGUAACCUGCCCUAGACAGGGGGAUAACUGCUGGAAACGGCAGCUAAGACCGCAUAGGUAUGGACACUGCAUGGUGACCAUAUUAAAAGUGCCAAGGCACUGGUAGAGGAUGGACUUAUGGCGCAUUAGCUGGUUGGUGAGGUAACGGCUCACCAAGGCGACGAUGCGUAGCCGACCUGAGAGGGUGACCGGCCACACUGGGACUGAGACACGGCCCAGACUCCUACGGGAGGCAGCAGUAGGGAAUUUUCGGCAAUGGGGGGGAACCCUGACCGAGCAACGCCGCGUGAAGGAAGAAGGAAUUCGUUCUGUAAACUUCUGUUAUAAAGGAAGAACGGCGGAUAUAGGGAAUGAUAUCCGAGUGACGGUACU